GCCUCGGUAGUCUAAUGGCUUAGGACUCUCGUAUGGAAUACAAGAGAUCCGGAUUCAAGUUCCAGCCGAGGUA
RNAcentral lists this transfer RNA (73 nucleotides) under Trachymyrmex septentrionalis. It matches the Rfam family "tRNA". Rfam says of the family: Transfer RNA (tRNA) molecules are approximately 80 nucleotides in length. Their secondary structure includes four short double-helical elements and three loops (D, anti-codon, and T loops). The record is from Rfam by way of RNAcentral. Lineage: Eukaryota; Metazoa; Arthropoda; Insecta; Hymenoptera; Formicidae.